UACGUAGGGUGCGAGCGUUAAUCGGAAUUACUGGGCGUAAAGCGUGCGCAGGCGGUUUUGUAAGCCAGAUGUGAAAUCCCCGGGCUUAACCUGGGAAUGGCAUUUGGGACUGCAAGGCUUGAGUGCGGCAGAGGAGACUGGAAUUCCUGGUGUAGCAGUGAAAUGCGUAGAUAUCAGGAGGAACACCGGUGGUGUAGACGGCUCUCUGGACCGUAGCUGACGCUGAGACACGAAAGCGUGGGUAGCAAACAGG
RNAcentral lists this ribosomal RNA (253 nucleotides) under uncultured bacterium. Its description in RNAcentral is "partial 16S ribosomal RNA". It matches the Rfam family "Bacterial small subunit ribosomal RNA", at positions 524 to 776 of the family's 1533-position model. The record is from RNAcentral.